GGGGAUUUAGCUCAGUGGUAGAGCGCUUGCCUAGGAAGCACAAGGCCCUGGGUUUGAUCCCAGCUCCG
This 68-nucleotide transfer RNA is filed under the name Rattus norvegicus (Norway rat). It matches the Rfam family "tRNA". From Rfam's summary of the family: Transfer RNA (tRNA) molecules are approximately 80 nucleotides in length. Their secondary structure includes four short double-helical elements and three loops (D, anti-codon, and T loops). Lineage: Eukaryota; Metazoa; Chordata; Mammalia; Rodentia; Muridae. The record is from Rfam by way of RNAcentral.